GACGAACGCUGGCGGCGUGCUUAACACAUGCAAGUCGAAAGGAAAGGCCUCUUUCGGGGGGUACUCGAGUGGCGAACGGGUGAGUAACACGUGAGUAACCUGCCCUUGACUUUGGGAUAACUUCAGGAAACUGGGGCUAAUACCGGAUAGGAGCUCCUGCUGCAUGGUGGGGGUUGGAAAGUUUCGGCGGUUGGGGAUGGACUCGCGGCUUAUCAGCUUGUUGGUGGGGUAGUGGCUUACCAAGGCUUUGACGGGUAGCCGGCCUGAGAGGGUGACCGGCCACAUUGGGACUGAGAUACGGCCCAGACUCCUACGGGAGGCAGCAGUGGGGAAUAUUGCACAAUGGGUGGAAGCCUGAUGCAGCAACGCCGUGUGCGGGAUGACGGCCUUCGGGUUGUAAACCGCUUUCGCUCAUGACGAAGCUUUGUGUGACGGUAGUGGGUAAAGAAGCACCGGCUAACUACGUG
Molecule: ribosomal RNA, 467 nt
Filed under: uncultured bacterium
Lineage: Bacteria
Description: partial 16S ribosomal RNA
Rfam family: Bacterial small subunit ribosomal RNA
Source: RNAcentral